GAUGAACGCUGGCGGCGUGCCUAAUACAUGCCAGUCGAGCGAACAGAUGAGGAGCUUGCUCCUCUGACGUUAGCGGCGGACGGGUGAGUAACACGUGGAUAACCUACCUAUAAGACUGGGAUAACUUCGGGAAACCGGAGCUAAUACCGGAUAAUAUAUUGAACCGCAUGGUUCAAUAGUGAAAGACGGUUUUGCUGUCACUUAUAGAUGGAUCCGCGCCGCAUUAGCUAGUUGGUAAGGUAACGGCUUACCAAGGCAACGAUGCGUAGCCGACCUGAGAGGGUGAUCGGCCACACUGGAACUGAGACACGGUCCAGACUCCUACGGGAGGCAGCAGUAGGGAAUCUUCCGCAAUGGGCGAAAGCCUGACGGAGCAACGCCGCGUGAGUGAUGAAGGUCUUCGGAUCGUAAAACUCCGUUAUUAGGGAAGAACAAAUGUGUAAGUAACUAUGCACGUCUUGACGGUACCUAAUCAGAAAGCCACGGCUAACUACGUG
This 497-nucleotide ribosomal RNA is filed under the name uncultured bacterium. RNAcentral's name for it is "partial 16S ribosomal RNA". It matches the Rfam family "Bacterial small subunit ribosomal RNA", at positions 28 to 507 of the family's 1533-position model. The record is from RNAcentral.